GAUUAACGCUGGCGGCGUGCAUAACACAUGCAAGUCGAACGAUGAAACUUUAAUGAACCCUUCGGGGAGAAUUAAAGCGGAUUAGUGGCGAACGGGUGAGUAACGCGUGAGUAACCUGCCUUACACAAGGGGAUAGCCUUUGGAAACGAAGAAUAAUACCCUAUAAAACCAUAAAAGCACAUGCAAUUAUGGUCAAAGUGAUAGCGGUGUAAGAUGGACUUGCGUCUGAUUAGCUAGUUGGUGAGAUAAAAGCCCACCAAGGCAACGAUCAGUAGCCGGCUUGAGAGAGUGUACGGCCACAUUGGGACUGAGACACGGCCCAGACUUCUACGGGAGGCAGCAGUGGGGAAUUUUGCACAAUGGGGGAAACCCUGAUGCAGCGACGCCGCGUGAUUUAGAAGGCCUUCGGGUUGUAAAAAUCUUUUGUAUAGGAAGAAAAUGACAGUACUAUACGAAUAAGGUCCGGCUAAUUACGUGCCAGCAGCCGCGGUAAUACGUAAGGACCGAGCGUUGUCCGGAAUCAUUGGGCGUAAAGGGUACGUAGGCGGCUAGAAAAGUUAGAAGUCAAAGGCUAUAGCUCAACUAUAGUAAGCUUCUAAAACUAUUUAGCUUGAGAGAUGGAAGGGAAAGUGGAAUUCCUAGUGUAGCGGUGGAAUGCGCAGAUAUUAGAGGAAUACCGGUGGCGAAGGCGACUUUCUGGCCAUUUUCUGACGCUGAGGUACGAAAGCGUGGGUAGCAACAGGGAUUAGAUACCCUGGUAGUCCACGCCGUAAACGAUGAGUGUUAGGUGUCUGGAGUCAAAUCUGGGUGCCGCAGCAAACGCAUUAAACACUCCGCCUGGGGAGUACGCACGCAAGUGUGAAACUCAAAGGAAUUGACGGGGACCCGCACAAGCAGCGGAGCAUGUGGUUUAAUUCGACGCAACGCGAAGAACCUUACCAAGUCUUGACAUAUUUUAGAAUCAAUUAGAGAUAAUUGCCUAUAUCUUCGGAUAACUAAAAUACAGGUGGUGCAUGGUUGUCGUCAGCUCGUGUCGUGAGAUGUUGGGUUAAGUCCCAUAACGAGCGCAACCCCUAUUGCUAGUUACCAUCAUUAAGUUGGGGACUCUAGUAAUACUGCCGGUGACAAACCGGAGGAAGGUGGGGAUGACGUCAAAUCAUCAUGCCCUUUAUGACUUGGGCUACACACGUGCUACAAUGGCAGGUACACAGGGAAGCAAGACUGUGAAGUUAAGCAAAACUCAAAAAGCCUGUCCCAGUUCGGAUUGCACUCUGCAACUCGAGUGCAUGAAGUUGGAGUUGCUAGUAAUCGCAGAUCAGAAUGCUGCGGUGAAUGCGUUCCCGGGUCU
This 1348-nucleotide ribosomal RNA is filed under the name uncultured bacterium. RNAcentral's name for it is "bacterial SSU rRNA". It matches the Rfam family "Bacterial small subunit ribosomal RNA", at positions 28 to 1381 of the family's 1533-position model. The record is from RNAcentral.